This is a non-coding RNA of Hydra vulgaris (swiftwater hydra), 680 nucleotides long. Lineage: Eukaryota; Metazoa; Cnidaria; Hydrozoa; Anthoathecata; Hydridae. The record is from RefSeq and is a predicted model, not a curated record.
UUUAACUUAAAGUAAACUUUUGUCAUUUAAACUUUACUAUGUUGAUCAUUACCUAAUAGUGUAAAAAAAAAAUUAGUACGUCGCAAUCAAGGAUCAGUGUCAAGUAAUGUGUUUUGCAUACUUAUGUAUUUUUUGGGUGUUCUGUGUAUUAAAACUGAAACAUAUCAUCUUUAUAUAAUAAUACGGAACUCAAUAGUAGUAGUUCCCUUUCGAGCACGUUUGACACAAAACCCAACGCAGCCAUUGCAACCGAGGUACUGGCGAGGAAGAGUCGCAGCACCUUUUUAUAAGCAAACAUUAACGAAAGUGUGUGCUAAUAACUAACUUACGUAAACUUCAAAAUGUGAAAUGUCAAAACAUACUAAAACAUGUAUCAAGUUUUUAAGUUUUACUUUCACUUGAAAACUGCAUUGCGGCAACAUCUUAAUUUUGAUCGAUGGUCGUUUUAUAAAGACUUUUAUUUACUAUAUAUUUUUAAAAUUUGUUCAAUCGUUCAUAGUGGCAUAGCUUAGUGGUCAGCUCGCUGGCAGCUGACCUGAAGAGCCAUGGUUCGAAUCCUACCUAUGGCAUGUUUUCUUUUUAAAUUCAUUUUCGAUUUUUCUAAAGUACGAAAUAAAGAUUAUGUAUAGAGAUUAUAUACUUAACAAAUGUAAAAAUAUUUUACACUUAAACAAACGAAA